UCUUUAGCGAGGAUUCAUUGCAUGGCAAGUAUGUAUGAUUCCAACAGCUGCAUAAUUCUAGUUGUAAUGACGAAUAUGUGAAUGUUGUAUAGGUUAAAAAGCUCGCUAUUGGAUUUCAGCUCUAAAGGGAUGGUCCGCUUAUCGGAUGUUGUACUUACAUUUUUUUGGUAAUUUGGCCGGUAUCUUCAAAAUGAUCUUCACCGAUUGUUCAGAGUGUGGUCGGCGGCUAUACGUUGAAAAAAUUAGGGUGCUUACAGUAGGCGCUACGCUUGGAUAAUGGCGCAUGGAACAAUAGAUUAGGACAUCAGUGCUAUUUUGUUGGCCUUUGGAGCCGGAGGUCUUGUGAUUAAAGGAAACCGACGACAGCAUUGAUAUUGCUAUGAUAAAGAUAAAAAUCUUGGAUCGUUGAAGACGAACCGCCAUGUAAACCUUUGCUAAGAAUAUUUCCAGCAACCAAGAACAUAAGUUAAUAUUUGAAACAAGAUUAAAUUCCUCCUUUAGUUCUAACCAUGGGCGAUGCCAGCAAUCGAUCCGGUCU
This is a non-coding RNA of Trichonephila clavipes, 538 nucleotides long. The record is from the annotation of a GenBank genome assembly. NCBI's taxonomy places the organism in Eukaryota, Metazoa, Arthropoda, Arachnida, Araneae, Nephilidae.